UACGUACCGUACGAACGUUAUUCGGAAUUACUGGGCUUAAAGGGUUUGUAGGCGGCUUUGUAAGUCAGGUGUGAAAGCCCUCGGCUCAACCGAGGAAUGGCGCUUGAUACUGCAAGGCUUGAGGGAGACAGGGGUAAGCGGAACUGAUGGUGGAGCGGUGAAAUGCGUUGAUAUCAUCAGGAACACCGGUGGCGAAAGCGGCUUACUGGGUCUCUUCUGACGCUGAGGAACGAAAGCUAGGGUAGCGAACGGG
Molecule: ribosomal RNA, 253 nt
Filed under: uncultured bacterium
Lineage: Bacteria
Description: partial 16S ribosomal RNA
Rfam family: Bacterial small subunit ribosomal RNA
Source: RNAcentral